RNAcentral lists this ribosomal RNA (346 nucleotides) under Statilia apicalis. Its description in RNAcentral is "partial 16S ribosomal RNA". Lineage: Eukaryota; Metazoa; Arthropoda; Insecta; Mantodea; Mantidae. The record is from RNAcentral.
GGCCGCAGUAUUUUGACUGUGCAAAGGUAGCAUAAUCAUUAGUCUUUUAAUUAAGGGCUGGUAUGAAUGGUUGGACGAGGUAAAUUCUGUUUUAUAUUAAUUGAAGUUGAAAUUAGAUUUUAAGUAAAAAGACUUAAAUGUUAUUAAGGGACGAGAAGACCCUAUAGAGUUUAAUAUAUUUAGUAAUUAAUUGAGUUAAUAAUUAAUUUUUGGUUUUUAUGAAAUUUAUUUAAUUGGGGUGAUUGGAAGAUAUAUAAAACUCUUUUUUAAAUUUAAUAUUGUUAAUAGUUUUAAGAUCCAUUAAUAAUGAUUAAAAGAUUAAAUUACCUUAGGGAUAACAGCAUAA